CGUUUUGAAGCUCGUCUGAUGAUGAUGGCGAUGAUGACAGACUAUUUUGACAUGGCACCUUAUGCAUAUGCCACUUCAUGGACAAUUCAUUAAAAUAAUGUAGGGUGAGCCACUGACUGACUAGACUCCUACUUCAUCACCCAGACAAAUAAGUAACUUUUCUGUGCUGUAGUUACAGGCCUCUUUUUUUUUUUUUCCUCAAGUCAGGUCCAGACUCAUUUAAUUAGAGAAGAGAAGCUGAUGUGAUGACUGAUGAUGUGGGCAAAGGUGUUAUGAGAGGGAGCGAAGACAGAGAGGCUUCUUUCAAAGGUGUCUCCGUUUCCCUCUUCAGCAUCUCAUCCAGCUCUCUCACUACUCAGAGUUUUGUGAGCCUUCUCGGAUUGUUCUCACCAACAUAAAGGAAGAUUGGCACAGUUCUGGUAUUCUUGCUCCCCCAAAGCAGAACUGUGGCUCUAUGAAAUGAUGAGUGGAAUAAAGAGACCCUGCAGACAUCUUCCUGCUCAGCUGCAGCUUGGCCAGCAGAGACACUCUAAGUCAGCUGUUUCUACUUUAGCUGGAGGCUGAUGUUUUCUGUCUGCAGCAGGAAGUUUGGUGGCAAUGAGUAAAUUCACCCCAGUGUUUCCUAGCAGUGAUGCUCUCACUCUGGUAACUUCAGUGCACUUGACCUCAGCAGCCCAAGUUUCACCUGGAAGCCUGAACAAAUUUGGGAACAAAUAGCUUUGGGCAACACCAGCUUAAACUGAAAAUGAAUAAAGGGAAUAAGAAGACUUUCUUUUCUUCUAGUGAAAAUAUUAAUACUACAAUAGGAAGACAGAAGGCAUUUUUUUUUAGUCUACAUAAAGCAAGUGAACGUUUGGAAAGUUCUGCAGUUGUGAAACGCUUGUUAUUACGGCAC
RNAcentral lists this long non-coding RNA (895 nucleotides) under Chrysolophus pictus (golden pheasant). RNAcentral describes it as "lncRNA (ENSCPIG00010003675.1)". Lineage: Eukaryota; Metazoa; Chordata; Aves; Galliformes; Phasianidae. The record is from RNAcentral.